CCAGGGAAGCCCCUUCUCUGAUUCUUUGUAAAGUCACCAAGGACAUUAUCUAAAACCCAAUGUCUCUUUCUCGGUCUUUAUCCCAUGCAGUUUUCCGAAGCACAUGGCAUUUGUGCUAUUUCCUGAAAUGCGGUUGUCUGUUCGACCUGCCCACAGGUCCUGCCCAUGUCUGUCCUUGUCGGGCAUGCUGUCCUCCCAAACUCUAAAAGUCAUAUUCCCAAAGCACACUUUGGCCCUUUGUUUUUCUUCUGAUACGUGCCUUUUUUUAAAGAGAGUUGGUCAUGUUUUGUACGUUUCCAGCCUGACGUUCAGUGAUUAACUCCCAGAUCGGCAGGCUUAGACAGCUUCCUGCUCAUCUGCAGCCCCUCUGGGCAGCUCCUCAGCUUUUCAACAUCACCAGGUUCAGAAGGAAACUUAUCUCCUUCCCGAGGGAGCUCCUCCUCCAGUGACGUCAGGCUUGGCCAAGAGGCCACCAGGCAUCUCAGCUCCUGGGAGAAAGUCAUUGCAAUUCGACUUCUUCCUUCCUUCUCUCCAGCCUUGGCCUUGGCAGGAAGCAGAGUGGCCUCCUCAGCCUUUCUACUCCCAGACGCCCCGUGAGAACAAAUGGCCUGGGAUGGGCCAAUAAACUCCUCCCACUCAGGACUCUGAAACUGGAGAGGGUACCAAAGGCCAGGGAGGAAGAGAUGGAGUUUGCUUUUGCCGGAAGGAUCCCAGAACUUCCCUACGGAGGCCAUGAACCCUCCUGGUCUCCCCCCUCUCCCAGCUCCUCCAGCCCCGCCCUCUGCGAACUACCUGAUAUCCUUCAGUAAGUCCCUGUUCUGCUUAAGAUAGCCAGAGGUACUCUCCCUUCUUGCAACCAAAACCCCUAAAUGACGCAAACACUAGGAUUUUGAAAGCUGGAAACAGAUGGGGAGGGAGCUUAGAACACUGAGGACAGAGAGGGGGAAAGUGGGAGGACUCCAGGAGGACAGGAGAUACUCCAUUUAGAAGGAGCAAAGGAUGCCUGCAGAGGAUCCUGAGGAGAUAAGACCAGGAGAUACAGGAAUUAAGUGUGGACAUCAUCACGGUGGCGGGAUGACUCAUUUGGUGCCUGUACCAAAGAACGCCGAAAGUUAAUAGGACUUCCCUGGUGGCGCAGUGGUUGAGAAUCCACCUGCCAAUGCCGGGGAAAUGGGUUCGAGCCCUGGUCCGGGAAGAUCCCACAUGCCGCAGAGCAGCUAAGCCCACGUACCACAACUACUGAGCCUGCGCUCUAGAGCCCGUGAGCCACAACUACUGAGCCCGCGUGCCACAACUACUGAAGACCGCGCGCCUAGAGCCUGUGCUCCGCAACAAGAGAAGCCACCGCAAUGAGAAGCCGGCGCACCAGAGUGAAGAGUAGCCCCCACUCACCGCAGCUAGAGAAAGCCCACGCACAGCAACGAAGACACAACGCAGCCAAAAAACAAUUUUUUUAAUAAAUAAAUAAAUAAAACGUUAAUAAAGCAUAUUUGUUUUUCUGAA
Molecule: long non-coding RNA, 1503 nt
Organism: Orcinus orca (killer whale)
Lineage: Eukaryota; Metazoa; Chordata; Mammalia; Artiodactyla; Delphinidae
Exons: 2
Source: RefSeq, a predicted model, not a curated record